RNA transcript from Anopheles darlingi, 3184 nucleotides. RefSeq lists it as uncharacterized. The record is from RefSeq and is a predicted model, not a curated record. The transcript is spliced from 8 exons. Lineage: Eukaryota; Metazoa; Arthropoda; Insecta; Diptera; Culicidae.
GGUGCGACGUGGUCGCGAGCAGAUCACUGAAUUGAAAGUGAUUCAAAUCACGCUGCUGCAGCACCCAGACGCAGUCGUGCUUCGACCUUCCGACCGAGUGCAGCAUCACCAACGCCACCAAGAGUAUAAUUGCGAUCGCAUUACGACCUUUCUCUUUCAACUACGAUCACGAUCACGUCACGUGACGAACACGAACAAGGAGGUGUGAUCGAUCGAAGUGAAUUUUGUGAAUCUGAACCCUUCAUCGCACCUGUGCGCACCGCUCCCGGUGAGAUGCUGCUCGUGUUUCUCGUGUGACACUUACCUUCAAUCGUCAUCGUACGCUAUCAUCGUUCCAGUGUGAGAGUGUUUUCGGGUGUCGGUUUGUCCCGAUUUUGUGUGUGGCUGUGCGUGAUUGUGGGCCUUUUGGGACGUUUGCGAAAGGAGCAAAAUGGUGCGUCUAGUGGUUUUGCUGCUGUGCGUGUCGAUGGCGACGACGCAAAAACCGAGUAAUUUCAACUUCAAAGAGAAAGGUUUCAAAAGCAGACCAAAUUACGACAUUGAUCCGCAGGUGUUGGAGAUACAGCGUCAGAACCUGAUCACGCAGAAGAUCCUGCAGCGCUAUCUGGAGCGGCGGUUGCAUCCGCACCGCAAACCCCAAAUCCGGGUACCGUCGGUGGAGGAGAUCCUUCCGAAACCGUUCACUUCGCUGGCGGCCGAACGGAAUGUCCGGCAACAGAACCAAAGCAACAGUGAUGGCACUAGUAGCAGCAGCAGCAGCAGCGGCAGCAGCAGUAACUCCACCGGUGCACGGUACGAUCUGUUCGAUGGUCAGAACGGUCGCCAGUACGAGAACGAUGGCGAUGGCGAGGAUCAGUACGGUGACGAGGACGGCGGUGACUACCGGGAUGAGUCACCGCGGGAUCUGGACCAGUACGAUGAUCUAGGCGAUGGGCUCAACGACAACGAUCGCUACGACAUCGAAUCGCUGCAAUCGGGCGAAUCGGAGCAUGUGGAUUCGUUCUACCGCGACAAGUACUACAACCAUCAGCGCCAGAGAGCAGCAUCUCAGCUCUCGGUGGACGAUUCGGGCGAAUUGCUCGACAGCAAUGACCUAGACAUGGAUUUCGAAGAUGACCCGGAGCUCAGUGUACUGAGUGAGAUUACCAACGAGGUACGGUUGCGUCAGGAAGCAGCAGCAAAAGAAGCGCAGAUUACUAAGGACCUCCAGCGACCGUCGUCUGGCGGUCGCGUGAAACGGCAGGCCAUUAAUAGCCGCACAUCGCGGCGUGGUCGACCCACGGUACGCGAAACGGCUACCAUUACGAAUCGAGUCGACGCACGGUAUUAUACCGCUGAAGAUUACGUCGAUUAUCAAACGACACAGCCACGGUUAAACAAGAAUCUACGGGAUAACUAUUCCGAGUAUCGGUUGCUAUCGAAGAGCCGCAACGUGGCCAUUGAACCGAGCAAACCCACGCGUCCAAGGCCAACCACAGCACAGACUACCCUCGCGCGGAAUGCUGCCCGAUCCCGCAAUCGUAAUACGCUCAAAUCGCUUGCCUAUAAACCGAACGUCUACAAUGCCAACAGCCGCCGGACCACGUUUACACUGUCGGCGUACAACAAACCGACCCAGCGAACUACUCCUAAUGGUCGACGUGGAGGCUCCAACUCCCGGGGUUCGUACAAGGACGAGGAACCGGCACGCAACUGGAACAGGUUUGGUCAAGCGGCCCCUACAACCCAGGACUGGCGUCGGAAGACACUGAGCUUGGGCAGUUCCAACAUUCAACCUAGUACGGCCGCCCUGACCGUGACGUUUUUCCUGCCCACGGACACGACGGUAUCGGUGGUCGCCAACUCGAAAACCGAGAUCAGUUUGAUCAAGACGACGACUACCAGCAUCGAGGAGAUCUGUACCUCCUGCUUCUCGCUGACCCAAGGUCCGAACGGGCUGCCGGUGCACGUGCUCAACAAGGAGAUCACGUCGUUCAACAAUGACGGUCUGUUCGAGAUCACCAAGUUCAUCCUUAGCUCGACCCCUACGACGACCGUGUCGGUGUCGCAGAAUACGUUCCGGGGACGUUCGACUGCCUACACGGCCACUAUCUCUACCACGAUCUACGAGGCGACGCCUUUCGUCCAGACUAAGGGCAAGACGGCCGAUCCGAACUCGGUACUGUCCAAUGCUCCGCUGGCCAACAUACUGUUGUCACAGCUGCUGCUCGGCAAUCUUGGUGGGGUCCCUGAACCCAAUUUCAUCCCGCGACCGACCGAAUUCCUGCCGGAUCCGAACCGCUAUCAGCUGAUAGUGACGACAGCCACGGAUUACAAGACGCACGUGAAGGAAGUCGUCCAAACGGUGACGCAAACGAAAUCCAUCGUCCUACCGGUAACGUUCCAGGGUCGUGAGAUCCUAACGACCGUGUACGAGAGCGAUGUGACCAGUACGGUUAUCACGUCCUUUAUCACGGAAACGCUCACCAUACCGACGACGUCAACCGUGCGCAUCCAACCGACGGCCAAUCCAGCCGAUGAUCUCUCCAACAAGUUAAGUCUUCUGUUGCCUCUGCUCGAGGAACGUGAACGGCAGAACCGGCUGCUGUCGGCCAUCGAACCAUCGUUGCCAGUAGUAGCGACGGCACCGCCGACGCUCAACCCUACGCCAUCGGCCACCAGUGCCGUUUCGAAGGUGUACGUGUCCGGGCAGCAUCCUGGCGAGUUCAGCGUAUCCUUCACCACCAUUUUCAGCACGUAGGGGCCGCCGAUGUUGCUGCUCGACCCUCCUACUCUACCCUCCCUCUCUCUUCACCAAUACUCAACACCUUUUCUAGGAUUAGUCUAGACUAACGUUAAGCCACGACACGCGGCGCCAUCAAAUCGUCCAACUGUACGAAGGAACACACAAUCGGAGCAGCACAAUCGGACGACAUGCAAUCCCGUACACCAGCGGUUACUACCACAUGUCAGGCUCUUUACCAGUGAGAGAUGAAGCUGCGCCGUCUCCUUUUUACGCAUACAGCCGUUCCGUGUUCAGCACGCUCACAUGCAGUGACGUGGUGAUUUUAGCAGCUUGUGUUUUAAUUGUUACAAGUGAUCCCACAUUUUGGGCUCCAUUAUUCCAAAUGCAGCUCUUCGAAGCGGGAUGCUGCGUACGUGACUUGUUCCGCGCUGUCGUCCUUGAAUAAAUUGUACUAAAGCU